CUCAUCCCUAGUUCUGUGCUGAUUGGUUUGUCCUGUGUCACAUGUUUGUAAGUGUUCAGACUGCUGAGCCUCACAAUGUGGUGAGUCUUCAAAUUAUUUCUCCAGACAUUCUUAGAUAGUCUCUGUCUGCCUUUAUAUUGGCCACAAAACUCUCAGUUUUGGUAACUCGGUGACAGACAGUUUUUGGGGAUUGCUUUGGCACACAGCAUUUUGCCUAAAAGUGACAUUGCGUUCUUUCUGCUUAAUUUUCACGAGAGAGCACGGGACCUGGUGAUGCACUGACCUGGCAGCUGUGGCGGUGGUGACACUAAGUGUGGGCCCUUCCCAUGCGUUUCUUUGUAAGCUGGCUGUCACCAGGAGGUCACUGUAGAUCCGUCUGGUGUACCGCCACCUCAGAGAGACGGUUAACCAAGAUGGUUACGUACUAGUUCACUGGGAAACGCAGACUAGGGUAUCCUUUGAGAAAGUUCUGGGUUUGAGUGGCUUUGAGAAGAAAAUCUCCAGCAGGGGAUGAAAGCACCUAAUUGAAGAACGGAGUCCGUGGUCCAUGCAGCGCCUGAGGCACCUUGAGGCAUCAGGAGAAGCGCUCUGCGCAGACUCCUCGCAGGUGCCCCC
This 615-nucleotide long non-coding RNA is filed under the name Equus asinus (donkey). RNAcentral's name for it is "lncRNA (ENSEASG00005025104.1)". The record is from RNAcentral. Lineage: Eukaryota; Metazoa; Chordata; Mammalia; Perissodactyla; Equidae.